CCACUCGCUGAACGCAGGCUCUUUGGCUGCUUUGCAGCGACGCCCAGUGCACACACCGAAAACACAUCCAUAGAGCGACGAGGUGCGCCGUACAACGGGCGGGCAUGCCCGGUCGUCUGAAGGCGGCUCCAUCGGAGGUGGCGUUUACCAGGCACUUCAUCUUAUCUCCUCACCGCCGGCAGCCAGUGCACUGCCACGCUCGCCACUCUCCCGUACGCACACCUUACCCACCUUACACACAGCCGUCAUCAGACGCAGCGCCUGGCGGCUCGUCGUCAUCGCAUCUGCACCAACGCCACCAUUACCAUGACUCUUUUACUCACCACAGCGCCGAUGGCUCCCCCACGAAGUGUAGGGCAACGUUGUCCGUGUUGGCACCGCCAACUCCCGCCGCGGACGCUGCCCAUGCGCGCCACAUCAAGCAUGUGCCUUGCUCCCGGGCUCACUGCCUACACAGUGCGGCAGACGCGUCAGCGCAGCAGCAGCAGGGGCCUUCUGAAGCGCAGGCACUGACGCUGAGGUCACGGCGGUGGGCAACCGAUGGCGCCGCGGUAGAGGAUCGAACACUCGAGGCAGAGCUCGCUCGUCACCGCCGCGGUCCGCAGCUGCCACCGCCGUCCUCACCGUUGCUGGACUCACCCUCAAGGACGGCCACUCCGACGGCCGACAUCACGCACUUUGACGCAUCGCCUUCGCGGCCACUGCCAUCGCGUCGGCCCGCCUCACGACUGCAGCGACUCCUGCGCAAGCUGGAGGCGGAGGCGCAUCGAACGGGCUGCACCGUGACAGAUGCUGCUGAUGGUCAACGAAACACCGUUGAGUUGUACCAAGCACUGUUCCUGCAGGCCUUGGCGGACAGUGCCGCCUGGGAGCGCCAUGCACGCGUCCUUGAGGCCAGCGCCCAGGCCUCUGCAAAACGUGAGGCUCAUCUUAAACGGCAGCUGCGGCACCUGCGGAGCAGUGUUGAGCUGCUUGUGGCUUAUGUGAAGGGGUCUGAGCGGGUGAUGGAUGCCCUCGGCAGAGGGACCGCCUGUGGCACCGGUGCGUCGACUCAGACGGAGAGGGCGGCGCCGGACGGCACUCCACCAAUGUCGCCGGGCGCACUGGCCGCGUCAGCAGCAGCAGCAGAGACAAUGAUGGAUGUAGCGUCAUCUUCUCCAUGGAGUCCCACAUCGCUGUCCGCCGUGAGUGAACUCGUACGAGGCUCCUUCGGCCGCUCACUGAACCUCGUCUACGACAUCAGUGGCAGUGACAGCCGACAUGGCGAGGACGAUGCCGCCGUGCGGAAGAUGGAUGGCCGGUCGCACGCAGCAGUCGUCAAGGGACCUGGUGACUUGCAUGAGCUUGAUGGCUUUCAUUCGGAAUCCCUUGCCCCUGCGCACGAAGCUGUGGAGGCGCCGUGGGAUCAGCCCUCAUGGGAUGGCAGCGGGGACGAUGUCGGUACCGGUGUGCACACUCGAUACAGGGCGAGCGCGGCGUGGGGGGACAAGGACAGAGGGGACGCGGCCCAGAGGUUACGCCGCGGCGGCACAGAAGCGUUUGAGACGGGCACGCCGUGGAGCCGGACGCUGCCAGCUGCGAUUCGUGCUUCUGGAAUGGCGCAUCGUGAGUCUACGCCAUCGCUUCUGCACCGUGGCGCAUCUGCACAGGCUACUGCAGUUCUCGAGGGCGGCUCGUCUCUCCAUGCCACCUCGCCGUCUCCGCUUUCCUCAUUGCUUGGCCAUGCUGCGACAAUGAACGCCGCCAUGGAAACAGAGUCGGUGACGCACGAGAGUGCUCCCCUCGCUGCUGCUGCCGCUCCUCAGGUUGCACCGACGUCUGCCGCUCAAAGCCUGCUGGAGCUUCUGCGCAGUCGAGACACGUCGACUCGGGGGACGGCGGCGUUGGGCCAGGGACUUGCCGACACAUCUCUGGGUACUAUUUCCAAGGCAACGCCACAGAGUGCUGCCGCGCACCAGAACGAUGACCACGAGGUCACGGUCGCCGAGGCGACACACAGCCACAGCUCCAGCGAUGUUGCGCAUCUGAAUCGUGCGGUGCCGGCGAGGGCAUUAUCAUCGUUUUCUUCAGCCUCUCGACCCCCUCUGACACCGAGUUGCUCUUCGAUUCCACGACAGAGCUCCGGCCCAAAAGGCGAGGCGCUGCCCUCGCAUCCUGCGUCGCUGCCGUCGUUGGUGCCCUCGUCGCCGCCACGGCCCUACUCCCACUCGCUCGCACCCUCGUCACCCCAGAUGUCACGCGUCGGUGGCAGCGGCGGCAGCAAUCGUGCGCCACCUGGCAUAGAGGCUGCUGCUGCCGCGCCCAUCGCGGUGGCGGAGCUCGUUCACACGUCGUCCCCUGCUGUAUUGUCUUUCCCACCUCAUCAGGCGUUCACAAAUCUCGCUGCCACGCAUCAACGCGACGGCAGCGUGGCGGCGCAGCCCGAUGACGGCCCGGCGUACUCGUCUAACGACUGGGAAUUCCUCGAGACGGCGAAUUUCGCUGACAGCUUUGGUGCGUCGUCGUCAUCCUCACCCACGAGGAGGCUGGAUGAAGCACGCGGCGGACAUCACAGGCUCGCGAGCAGCGACAGCAGCAGUGACACGAACGGUGACAAGAUGACAGACGAAAGGGACGAGCUGGCUAAUGGCGACGGCUACACAGAGUGGCGCACACAGCUGGAGGCACAUCUGAACCACGAAUGGGUCUCGGGCAUGUGAGGCUUCCAUGUUUGCGAUUUCUCUUUCUGUGUGUGCGUGUCGCUGGCGGAGACGCGGCAUAUGGGCAUCGUACACGCAGACCUCGCAGGCACGUUCACGGCACUUUUCUUUUCGGUGGCGUUUUCCCUCCCUUGAAUGUCUGCGCAGGCAUAUGUAAAGGGGACAGCAUCAAGGGGUAGAUGGAACUCAGCACGCGUACAAUGACGCACGCUUACCUGUUACUCAGCAGAGUAGAGGUUGCCGUGCGCGCGGAGAGUACGACAGCGCUUCUCUUUUCUUCAGUUUGUUCUUGAUGUGUUUCCGUAGAUGCGCACCGAAACACACACACGCACACACACAAACAAACACGCAUGUGCAUGCCGAGCACGUGUGCAUGCAUGUACAUGGGCCACUACCAUUACAUCUGCGAGCUCUCUGCAGCGACGUGAGCGCGACACUUGGAGAGGAGGCUGGCGUGGUGGCACUUGGAGGAGCGGAGAGCCGCUCUCUACUCUUCAGCCUCGAGCAUUUCAGGAGACACCAACGGCGGAUCGCGGAGCAGAGCUGCAUUGAUGCGCUAAUCGAGGCGGCUCGAAAGCCAUCGAAAGAGAGACACGUGAGCAGCACGACUGACAGGCUGAUGAUGCGACAGCCCGGCCCGUUUCUCGUCUCUUUCUCUCCCUCUUCUGGCGCUCUGCAGUGCUUGGUCCCGGCACUCAUCCCUUCGCUGCUCCGUGUUCGGUUGCGCACGCGUGCACGCUCGCACCUACAAAAAACGCGAGACAUGUUCCACUACGUAUGCAAUGCACAGCAACGUUGUUUGAGCCGCCCUGCACAUCUUUUCGGCUCCUCCGAUGGUGCCAAUUCGUUACCUCUUCCCUUCCCUCCUGCCGUUUUCUACCGACACCCCCUCUCCACACAAAUACGCGGGGAAG
RNAcentral lists this unclassified non-coding RNA (3613 nucleotides) under Leishmania donovani. RNAcentral describes it as "gene:LdHU3.27.2710(CDS-product:hypothetical_prote in_conserved)". The record is from RNAcentral. Lineage: Eukaryota; Euglenozoa; Kinetoplastea; Trypanosomatida; Trypanosomatidae.